This 497-nucleotide ribosomal RNA is filed under the name uncultured bacterium. Its description in RNAcentral is "bacterial SSU rRNA". It matches the Rfam family "Bacterial small subunit ribosomal RNA", at positions 28 to 517 of the family's 1533-position model. The record is from RNAcentral.
GAUGAACGCUAGCGGCAGGCUUAAUACAUGCAAGUCGAGGGGCAGCAUGAGUGUAGCAAUACAUUUGAUGGCGACCGGCAAACGGGUGCGGAACACGUACAGAACCUUCCUUCGAGCGGGGAAUAGCCCAGAGAAAUUUGGAUUAAUACCCCAUAGUACAACGGAGUGGCAUCACUUUGUUGUUAAAGAUUUAUCACUUGAAGAUGGCUGUGCGGCUGAUUAGGUAGUUGGCGGGGUAACGGCCCACCAAGCCUGCGAUCAGUAACUGGUGUGAGAGCACGACCAGUCACACGGGCACUGAGACACGGGCCCGACUCCUACGGGAGGCAGCAGUAAGGAAUAUUGGUCAAUGGACGAAAGUCUGAACCAGCCAUGCCGCGUGGAGGAUGAAGGUCCUCUGGAUUGUAAACUUCUUUUAUAUGGGACGAAAAAGGCUUUUCUAAGUCGUCUGACGGUACCAUAUGAAUAAGCACCGGCUAACUCCGUGCCAGCAGCCG